RNAcentral lists this ribosomal RNA (301 nucleotides) under uncultured bacterium. RNAcentral describes it as "partial 16S ribosomal RNA". It matches the Rfam family "Bacterial small subunit ribosomal RNA", at positions 509 to 807 of the family's 1533-position model. The record is from RNAcentral.
CAGCCGCCGCGGGAAUACGUAGGGUGCAAGCGUUAAUCGGAAUUACUGGGCGUAAAGCGUGCGCAGGCGGUUAUAUAAGACAGAUGUGAAAUCCCCGGGCUCAACCUGGGAACUGCAUUUGUGACUGUAUAGCUAGAGUACGGCAGAUGGGGAUGGAAUUCCGCGUGUAGCAGUGAAAUGCGUAGAUAUGCGGAGGAACACCGAUGGCGAAGGCAAUCCCCUGGGCCUGUACUGACGCUCAUGCACGAAAGCGUGGGGAGCAAACAGGAUUAGAUACCCCUGUAGUCCCUGUCUCUUAUAC